GCCCGCCUAGCUCAAUCGGAUAGAGCGUCAGACUCUUAGUGCGGGUCCCCAUCGGCUUCUCGGCAUCUGAAGGCUGCGAGUUCGACCCUCGCGGUGGGCU
This is a non-coding RNA of Leucogyrophana mollusca, 100 nucleotides long. Lineage: Eukaryota; Fungi; Basidiomycota; Agaricomycetes; Boletales. The record is from the annotation of a GenBank genome assembly.